Long non-coding RNA from Protopterus annectens (West African lungfish), 400 nucleotides. RefSeq lists it as uncharacterized. The record is from RefSeq and is a predicted model, not a curated record. The transcript has 2 exons. NCBI's taxonomy places the organism in Eukaryota, Metazoa, Chordata, Ceratodontiformes, Protopteridae.
ACCAGUAUGGUAAACAACUUCAGCAGCUUUUAUCUGUAUCUCUUGGGACGAAAAAUAAAAGCCAUUUGUCAGCAAUGAACCUUGAUUAAAUACUGCAGAUUAAUAAAAGGACUGCAGAAAUAGUUGAACUAACUAUGUACGUCCUUUGGGUGGAACUCUGAAACCACUGACGAACCAUGACUCAUUGCUGAAACAUGCAGUUCAGAAGGUUUAUUACUUACUUGAUCAACUUACAUGUCUAGGCACAUAUAUCAAUGCCUACUGAAGCUGGAUGCAGUUUCCUGGAGUCCUAUUUUAACAGAUGUUUUCAUACUGACUAAUUGUACAGAUUAAUUGUUAUCUCUCAUAUAAGAUGCUGAUAAAAGUUCUUGGGUUCAAUAAAGUUUUGAAGAAAAAAGUA